GACGAACGCUGGCGGCGUGCUUAACACAUGCAAGUCGAACGGAAAGGCCCUGCUUGCAGGGUACUCGCGUGGCGAACGGGUGAGUAACACGUGGGUGUUCUGCCCUGCACUUCGGGAUAAGCUUGGGAAACUGGGUCUAAUACCGGAUAGGAACCAUCUUUAGUGUGGUGGUUGGAAAGUUUUUUCGGUGUAGGAUGAGCUCGCGGCCUAUCAGCUUGUUGGUGGGGUAAUGGCCUACCAAGGCGGCGACGGGUAGCCGGCCUGAGAGGGUGUACGGCCACAUUGGGGGUGAGAUACGGCCCAGACUCCUACGGGAGGCAGAAGUGGGGAAUAUUGCACAAUGGGCGCAAGCCUGAGGCAGCGACGCCGCGUGGGGGAUGAAGGCCUUCGGGUUGUAAACUCCUUUCGCUAGGGACGAAGCUUUGUUGUGACGGUACCUAGAGAAGAAGCACCGGCUAACUACGUG
This 466-nucleotide ribosomal RNA is filed under the name uncultured bacterium. Its description in RNAcentral is "partial 16S ribosomal RNA". It matches the Rfam family "Bacterial small subunit ribosomal RNA", at positions 28 to 507 of the family's 1533-position model. The record is from RNAcentral.